AGAGUUUGAUCCUGGCUCAGAACGAACGCUGGCGGCAUGCCUAACACAUGCAAGUCGGACGCUUUUGCGACUUCGGUCGCAAGGGAGUGGCGCACGGGUGAGUAGCGCGUGGGAACCUGCCCUGUUGUGGGGGAUAACCGAGGGAAACUUCGGCUAAUACCGCAUGCGCCCGGUUGUCUUGAAAGAGAUGGCCGGGGAAAGAUUUAUCGCAGCAGGAGGGGCCCGCGUCGGAUUAGGUAGUUGGUAGGGUAACGGCCUACCAAGCCUGUGAUCCGUAGCUGGUCUGAGAGGAUGAUCAGCCACACUGGGACUGAGACACGGCCCAGACUCCUACGGGAGGCAGCAGUGGGGAAUAUUGGACAAUGGGCGCAAGCCUGAUCCAGCAAUGCCGCGUGAGUGAUGAAGGCCUUAGGGUUGUAAAGCUCUUUCGCCCGCGACGAUGAUGACGGUAGCGGGAGAAGAAGCCCCGGCUAACUUCGUGCCAGCAGCCGCGGUAAUACGAAGGGGGCGAGCGUUGUUCGGAUUUACUGGGCGUAAAGGGCGCGUAGGCGGCCCUCCUUGUCGCGUGUGAAGCCCCGGGCUCAACCUGGGAAUUGCGCGCGAAACGGGGGGGCUUGAGUUCGGGAGAGGAGCGUGGAAUUCCCAGUGUAGAGGUGAAAUUCGUAGAUAUUGGGAAGAACACCGGUGGCGAAGGCGGCGCUCUGGACCGAGACUGACGCUGAGGCGCGAAAAGCGUGGGAGCAAACAGGAUUAGAUACCCCCGUAGUCC
RNAcentral lists this ribosomal RNA (769 nucleotides) under uncultured bacterium. RNAcentral's name for it is "bacterial SSU rRNA". It matches the Rfam family "Bacterial small subunit ribosomal RNA", at positions 8 to 796 of the family's 1533-position model. The record is from RNAcentral.